RNAcentral lists this ribosomal RNA (261 nucleotides) under uncultured prokaryote. Its description in RNAcentral is "partial 16S ribosomal RNA". It matches the Rfam family "Bacterial small subunit ribosomal RNA", at positions 524 to 784 of the family's 1533-position model. The record is from RNAcentral.
UACGUAGGUGGCAAGCGUUGUCCGGAUUUAUUGGGCGUAAAGCGAGCGCAGGCGGUUCCUUAAGUCUGAUGUGAAAGCCCACGGCUCAACCGUGGAAGGUCAUUGGAAACUGGGGAACUUGAGUGCAGAAGAGGAGAGUGGAAUUCCAUGUGUAGCGGUGAAAUGCGUAGAUAUAUGGAGGAACACCAGUGGCGAAGGCGACUCUCUGGUCUGUAACCGACGCUGAGGCUCGAAAGCGUGGGGAGCAAACAGGAUUAGAUA